AGGAUGCACCGGGCUCUAAUGUCCACCCGUCCCAGCAAAUCCAGGAGAAAAGGCCUCUAUCUAGUCAUUUAAGGCAACCACCACAGGAGUGAAGAUGAGGAUCCUCUCCUGAAGCCAGACGUGCCUGGAUCCUCUAUGCCAGCUCCCAGGAGAGUAGAACGCAGAAGGUUGUCAUGGAGCUGAUGUCACCCUGUCAUAUGCCCAGCCUCUGCAGCUCUCCCCGCAAGACAGUGGUCCUCUGGAGGGUCUAGAGCAUCUUAAGAGUAUAGCACCAGCAUCGUCUUGGCUUCUACCGAGAGCCUAGUGGAAGAAGAGCACAGAGGGAUGUACAGACAGAAGAGGAGACCCAAGGCCUAAAACAUCUAACUUAUUCUUACAAGAGUCUCCCUUGGACCUACUUCCAGUUGAGUGUGGAGCAGAAGGCAACAGUGUGGGAGAUCUCUGAGGAGCUGAAACUCCACCCGUAUUUCAUUGGCCAAAACUCAUGGCCCCACCAACCGGAGAGGAAGGAAGUAGAUGGCAUUCACACACCAGGAAGAACAACCAGUCUUUGCUGUGACCACACCAGACUGGUCUUUAACACUUCCUCCUGUGCACAGACUGCAGGUUACCCAACGGAACCUUCUUUCAGCUGAUCUCUCUUGGGAUCAUGAAUCCAUGGAGAAUUCACCCUUUCAUUGAGAAUGCUGUCUCUCCUCUGGUCUCUCAAUCUCUAUUGACUCAAAUCCAAAUCCCUCCCCUUUUUAUAGAUCAGUCAAGUUGAUUUUUACAGUUUGCCUGACUCUGGUCCCAGGAGUCUUUAUCCCAGGGGACUUCUUGUCCACUCCAUCGUAGCUCAGCCCUUUCUCUGGAUACGAUAGUCUGGCUGUACCAAGAGGAAAAGUUCACACUUAGUAACAACAUAGAAAGCUGUUUUGAAUUACUGGACAUUUGCUAUUUCAAUGAAAGUAGGGUUUGAAGGGGAACCAGUUAGCCGGCUAACUUAGAAUGGAGUAGAAGGAACACAGAGUGGGGGUGAGGUGGGGACGGGAGGGCGGACAUGAGGAAUCUAUAGCUAUAAUCCAGGAGAGACUGUCAAGAGCCUGAACUAGACCUGAAGAUGAAGCACAGAAAGAGGAGGAGGUGCUAAAGAGAUGUUUCGUGAUGGGAGCCCAUGCCAGGAGGCACCUGUUGCUUUAGAUGGAGGCAGAAAGAGGGCAGAGAGAGGUGAAUCCCUUGUUUCCAGCCCUGGGGCAGUAGCGUACUUCCAGUGCGUCUGAUUACCUCAGCCCACCUGCCAGCCCCUGUGCUCAGCUCCACCAAGUCUGGCCUUUCCAAUCUACUUGCAAGGAAUGUGGAGUUACAUUUAAUUAAAAGUAUCUACACAGAAA
Non-coding RNA from Rattus norvegicus (Norway rat), 1370 nucleotides. Lineage: Eukaryota; Metazoa; Chordata; Mammalia; Rodentia; Muridae. The record is from RefSeq and is a predicted model, not a curated record.